AGGGUUGGCCACCUUGAGAAGCUGCGAAGAUGGCGGAGUAAGGCGUGCCGCUGCAAACUGGCCUCUGGGCCGGGGGCGAGCAGCCCCCGGGAGGCCGAGUGCAUCUGUUGGACCGUGCGAGGAGAAGAAAAAAAAUAUCGGCCAGAGGAGAGGAACUAACCGAACAUUCUUCCUCCCUACCUUAUAGAGGGGAGUGGUCAUCUACACUAAAGCAAAGUGUUAGGCGCGUCCGUGCGAAGAGACCACCAAACAGGCUUUGUGUUCCUUAUCACAGGAAGAAAAUUUUCCUUGACCUUUAGGUGCUUUUAUAUUCAUCUCAAAAACAAAAUUCUGAACUCAGGACUUGGCAAAGAUGGAGUUUUGCCAUGUUGGCCAGGCUGGUCUCCAACUCCUGACCUCAGGUGAUCCACCCCCCUCAGCCUCCCAAAGUGCUAGGAUUACAGGCUUGGGCCACCGCGCCUGGUGUCUCUAUGUUGUCUCCUAGAGUGGGUAGUCCUGCUUCUUUUACCCAGUUACUUUCCCGUUUUUGAAAUGUGGCUAUCACUUCUCUACACAUUACCUCCAUGAUUUGGAAUGGAAAAGGCCACUUUUCUUUUUGUUCUGCCUCUCAAAUUCAACACAGAGGAGCUCCUAGGAUUCCAGUUAUCCUGCUAACAUCUCCAGGAAGAAAGAAGCAACUCACAUGGGUCUUUUGCUGUUUGCUUAAUUAUAAAGACAUCAUUUUGCAAGCAGAAGGCUGAGUUUCAUUUGAAACAGGUGCUUAGGUGGUGGUAUUUGUGAAUACUUUUCAUUCCAAGCAAGAAGACUAAAGAAGUAGCAAGUAUGAAUGACUUCAGGGUUUAAAAAAAAUGUCUUCCAGUUUCAGCCACUACCAUGAUAAGCACAGUUGAGACUGCAGCAGUAAAUUCCAAAUAUGUGUUUCUAAUUUGACGUGAAAGAUACUAAAAAUUUAUAUUUGUAUAUUUAAAUCCUGGCUCAUCCUGUGACAUAGAUUUACUGAAUAGGAACAAAGGCCCAAUUUUAAACAAAAACCUAGGCCGGGUGUGGUGGCUCACACCUGUAAUCCCAACACUUUGGGAGGCCAAGGCAGGCAAAUCACCUGAGGUUGGGAGUUUGAGACCAGCCUGACCAACAUGGAGAAACCCCAUCUCUACUAAAAAUAGAAAAUUAGCCAGGUGUGGUGGUAGAUACGUGUAAUCCCAGCUACUCGUGAGGCUGAGGCAGGAGAAUUGCUUGAAUCCGGGAGGCGGAGGUUGCAGUGAACUGAGAUUGCACCACUGCACUCCAGCCUGGGCGACAGAGUGAGACUCCGUCUCAGAAAAAUAAAAAACAACUUUGGACAUAGAGGAGUUGGGGGCAGAGGGGGGAGGAUGAGAGAAUUUUCCAUGUAACUCCUUUUCCUUAAGAAAAAGAAGCAAAAAUCCCUCAUGCAGUGCCAUCUGACUUUAUGGUGUUUCACAUUAUAUAGUUACUUUUUUUAAUAAACGCAUAAGAUUAACUCUUCCUGCAACCCAAGGUGGAUACUUGGAUGUUUGAUUUUUAUUUAUUUAUUUAUUUAUUUUUUGAGGCAGUCUCUCUCUGUUGCCCAGGCUGGAGUGAUGCGUGAUUUCUGCUCACUGCAGUCUCUCCCACCCGGGUUCAAGCGAUUCUCCUGCCUCAGCCUCCCAAGUAGCUAGGAUUACAGGCGCGCACCACCACGCUCAGCCUGAUUUCUAGGCUGAAAAGGCUGGGACUCAGGUACUUUCCCCAGUUGGGACUGAACUUUCUCAUCAGAGAAUGGGCCUCAGAAGCAAUGUUCCCAAACUUGUGGUUGGGUCAUCGUGGAAAAGAAACCUCAAAUAAGAAAAAUAAUUACAAUAAGAAAUGGAUUUUCUUUUUUCCCACAACAGUUAUACAUUAUAAAGAACAGACUGUCGUAGAAAACUGUCUUUGCUUCCAAAUCAGCAGAGGACCAUUGUAUGUAUUGUCAGGUCUUUAUAUAAGAGUGAAACCUUUAUUUAUGCUUCUUGUGAGUAGAGAAUAAAUUUUAAAACUAAUUAGAUGAAAUUAAGAACAGAGUAUUGGAACAUCUCUGUGUUUUCCGGAAUGUUUACUCAGGUCCAUGAAUGCUGUGAUGCUGGGAACUUAGGGAAGAUUCACCAAAAUUUGAGAGUGAUAAAAAUGGCCUAAAAUGGGAAAUGGUGAGCACUCUUAUUAUUAGUGAGAUUGGUCAAUCAGCCCAUUUGAAAUGGGUAAAAAAUACUUUCAGUAAAAUAAUUACAUAUUAUAUAUAAAAUAUUUCUUUUUUUGAGGGCAGCUACUGAGUGAUAAAAGCAUAGUAGAAAUCACUUUGGUUAAAAGUAACUCAAAUUUUUCUCUUAAGUAAUCUACCAACUUCCUGAUGUUUUUCUUUAAUAUUUUGGAACUGUUCAAGACAGAAUGGAGCCUACAUAUAUGGUGUUCCACUAGUAUGUUGAAAAUGUCAUAUCAUGGAGAAUGGAGACACCUUCCAGGUGUCUGUUAAACCCAUCUUCUCUGUGUACUUCUGGCAUCUUUUUUGGUAGGAUCAUUUGGCAGGGGGUAGAGUACCUGUACUUUUGGCACCAUUGAAACCAGCUCUGGCCCACUUGUUUGAAUAGCUAUCAGACUCAGCGUCUCUAUAUGCUUUAUAUACAGUUGAGAGAACCAGUGUUUAAUGCUCUUGAAAUUGUAUCUUCCAUGCUUCAGACCAGAUGCAUUUAACAAAAUGGAUAUAUUCCAGCUGUAGUUGCCCAGUGUUUACUUAACACAUCUACAUUUUUUUCUUGUCUAUUUUGGUCCCCUUGAUAGGAAAAGCUAUAAUUUUAGGCAGGACUAUACGUCGAUUUGUAGCCAUGCUUCCUUCCUUUCCCUUGCUCAUCCAUGUUAGCUGGCAGUUUUUCUUUUGAAAAGUUAAAACCGGGAUAUGUGCAAUAGAAAUAUAUAUAUAUAUAUGUAUAUUUUAAUACUUGUGGACAAAUGUUACAAGUUGUUUAAGAACAACAAAAUCACCAAUGUCUUCCAUUUUGAGAUGUGUAUAGUUUUGUAAGCAUUAGUGCUUGGUAGCAUAUUGUAGUGCCAUGUUAGGGGUUAGUGCAUGAGUCUAGUGAUUUUAAACUUCAGGAUGAAUUAUUGAUAAUAACAAAUAGUGUAAAAAGAGUGGAAAAUCUAAACCUUUUCUUUUUCCAUAAUGUCUAAAUCUGUUAUAUUCUUCCUGGGGAAAAGAGAUUAAGGCCCAAAAGACUCAUUUAUGAAUAGAAAUGUGGGGUCAAAAUCUGAGAUACUAUAUUUGAGGACAUUUCAGCUUUCCAUAAGGUAUCUGGAAACCAGCUGUCUUUGUGUCUUAUGAAACCUCAAGUCAAAAUGAGACCGCAUUUAAUUAUUCUGCUUUGCUCUUUUUUUGGGGUGGGGGGGAGAUAGAGUUUCACUCUGUCACCCAGGCUGGAGUGCAGUGGCACAAUCUUUGCUCACUGUAACCUCUGCCUCUUGGGUUCAAGUGAUUCUCGUGCCCCAGCCUCCCGAGUAGCUGGGACUACAGGCACGUGCCACCACGCCCAGCUAAUUUUUAUAUUUUUAGUAGAGACGGGGUUUUGCUGUGUUGGCCAGGCUGGUCUCAAACUCCUGACCUCAAGUAAUCCACCUGGCCUGCUCUUUUCAUGUCUUAACAUGGCAUGUCUUUUAGUUUCAUUAUUUUCCUACUCCUUGUAUGUCAAGAAAUUACAUUUUGCAUGUCUUAUGGAGAUGCUGUUAAUUGCUUCAGUGAGUGCUUUUCUAAUCUGCAGACCAUUUACAUUUCCUGUUUGCAGCAUGCUGUGUGCAAACACUCAGUAAUUUGGAGUAUUCAAUUAUUUGUUAGGGCUCUUCCUAUUUCCAAAUGUGCUGAAUUGUCUAUUGAUGGGAUUUUCAGAUCUUUUCAUGAGAACUGGAAAUGUAGCUGGGUGGCACCUACCUAGGUUGCUACGUAGUGAGUAGACUUUCUCUUGGGUAUAGUAAGCCUCAGACAGCUUUCACUUUUAUCUACUUUACUUGUGGAAAUAAAACAGUCAUUUUGUUCUGAAAGAAUAAGAUAGCUUUCUGUAGAGAAGGAAUUCCUACCUCUAAAAGCUGCCUUGAGAACUCAGAACUGGCAGUUUUCUGAGGUGAUUUUUAAAUUUCAGUAUUAGGGAGAGUCCAGCAUUUGCUGACACAGAUUCUACAUAACUAAUGUAUGAUAGCAAAUGCAAAACUAUUAUAAUGUGGUGUAUCUUGCGCAUACACAGGUUAGAACAAGUAGACUCUGGCAGCAGAUCUCCAGAGACCCAAGUUUAGGUUCUCAUAGUGUAUUUGAAGUAGUUAUACUCCUGGCUUAAGUAGUUUAGUGCCUGGGAGAAUCCAUUACUGAAA
Homo sapiens (human) is the source of this 4380-nucleotide long non-coding RNA. Ensembl annotates it as OIP5 antisense RNA 1. Its record names the gene OIP5-AS1. Lineage: Eukaryota; Metazoa; Chordata; Mammalia; Primates; Hominidae. The record is from Ensembl.